UUGGCAACCACUGGAGGUGGAGAGAACAUGUCAGGGUGAUUUCCAGGGCUUCCAAACCUCCUGGCUCCGGGAAGGGUGUGAGCACUGGCUGCUGCCUCAUCUGUCACAGCAGACCAGCUUACUAUCACCUCUUGAGCAAGUGAGACACGCAGGAAGAAAAAGCUUCCUCAAGAUAAGAGCAGGAUCGUAUACUGUACGUGCAUUCAGUGGAUCAAAACAUGAAGCUUUGCUGACAGCAUUUCCUUCUCCAUCCACAACGCUGGUAUCCUCUGCCUUGUAUUUCCAAGGUGUGUUCUCAACUCUGACAUUCAGGUUAUCAAGAGGCUAACACUAGCUUAUUAUCAUGCCAUUUUUCUGACUGCAAGGGGAUUUACACACAGACUGAAGAACUGCAGAAUAGAUAGAGGCAAGGGAAUUACUGUAAAAAAUAAUCCAGCCUCAUUUUUCCUCAUUUGACUCUUCAGUCACUUAUUUGUUUUCUUGGUUAGUAUCCAAAUUUAUUCUUGAGCUUGGUUUGGCAACUCAGCUUCUUC
This 533-nucleotide long non-coding RNA is filed under the name Chloebia gouldiae (Gouldian finch). RNAcentral's name for it is "Erythrura gouldiae (Gouldian finch) lncRNA (ENSEGOG00005003470.1)". Lineage: Eukaryota; Metazoa; Chordata; Aves; Passeriformes; Passeridae. The record is from RNAcentral.